UUUUCUUUUUUUUUUUCUUUCUUUCUUUCCUUUUUUUUUUUAACCUGCCGUUGAGAUGGAGAGGCUGCAAGAAAGAGUCCUGAAGAAGAAAAGCCUGGAGUGCUGGAAGUAA
RNAcentral lists this non-coding RNA (112 nucleotides) under uncultured Micromonas. Lineage: Eukaryota; Viridiplantae; Chlorophyta; Mamiellophyceae; Mamiellales. The record is from RNAcentral.